Molecule: ribosomal RNA, 428 nt
Filed under: uncultured bacterium
Lineage: Bacteria
Description: bacterial SSU rRNA
Rfam family: Bacterial small subunit ribosomal RNA
Source: RNAcentral
UGGGGAAUAUUGGACAAUGGGCGAAAGCCUGAUCCAGCAAUACCGCGUGUGUGAAGAAGGCCUGAGGGUUGUAAAGCACUUUCAAUAGGGAGGAAUACCUGGAGGUUAAUACCCUCCAGACUGACAUUACCUAUACAAGAAGCACCGGCUAACUCCGUGCCAGCAGCCGCGGUAAUACGGAGGGUGCAAGCGUUAAUCGGAAUUACUGGGCGUAAAGCGUGCGUAGGCGGCUUGUUAAGUCAGAUGUGAAAGCCCCGGGCUUAACCUGGGAACUGCAUUUGAAACUGGUAGGCUAGAGUUGAGUAGAGGGGAGUGGAAUUUCAGGUGUAGCGGUGAAAUGCGUAGAUAUCUGAAGGAACACCAGUGGCGAAGGCGACUCCCUGGACUCAAACUGACGCUGAGGUACGAAAGCGUGGGUAGCAAACAGG